GAUGAACGCUGGCGGCGUGCCUAAUACAUGCAAGUCGUACGGAAAGGCCCUUCGGGGUACUCGAGUGGCGGACGGCUGAGUAACGCGUGGGAACGUGCCCCAAAGUGAGGGAUAACGCACCGAAAGGUGUGCUAAUACCGCAUAUGGUCUUCGGAUUAAAGCUUCGGCGCUUUGGGAGCGGCCCGCGUACGAUUAGAUAGUUGGUGAGGUAAUGGCUCACCAAGUCGACGAUCGUUAGCUGGUCUGAGAGGAUGAUCAGCCAGACUGGGACUGAGACACGGCCCAGACUCCUACGGGAGGCAGCAGUAAGGAAUCUUCCACAAUGGGGGCAACCCUGAUGGAGCAACCCCGCGUGCAGGAUGAAGGUUUUCGGAUCGUAAACUGCUUUUAUAAGUGAAGAAUAUGACGGUAACUUAUGAAUAAGGAUCGGCUAGCUACGUGCCAGCCGCCGCGGUAA
Molecule: ribosomal RNA, 457 nt
Filed under: uncultured bacterium
Lineage: Bacteria
Description: partial 16S ribosomal RNA
Rfam family: Bacterial small subunit ribosomal RNA
Source: RNAcentral